This is a long non-coding RNA of Amborella trichopoda, 776 nucleotides long. RefSeq lists it as uncharacterized. Lineage: Eukaryota; Viridiplantae; Streptophyta; Magnoliopsida; Amborellales; Amborellaceae. The record is from RefSeq and is a predicted model, not a curated record.
AAAAACGAGAACUUAAAAUAAGAACUUCAGGUUACUAUUCAUCUUCUUACGUCCAUUUAUAAAAAAACGUUUUGACCCGAAAGUCGGAACUUAAAAAUUGGAAGUUUGUCACUUCGUCCCCUUCGAUAGCUUUUUCGCCGCCGAGCACCUCUCUCUUCGCCGCUGAGCACCCCUCUCUUCGCAGCUUCCCAUCUUCACCGCUGAGCACCCCUCUCUUCGCAGCAUGACCCCUGAGUUCAGCCACUGAGCCAGCCCUCUGUUCGCAGCACACUACGUCUUUAGGAAAACCCCUCGCUUUACAAGCAGCCCUAAUCCUUGAGCUCUAAUCCUUGCCAUAGAUCUUGAGGCCAUUUUGGCUGGGCAUGAUUUUGGAGGUGCUUGUAUAUCAUAUGCUAUGGAGGCUUUUCCACAAAAAGUUGCAAAGGGCUGUUUUUGUUGCUGCAACAAUGUUGACAAGUGGACAGAGUGCACUUGAUUUGUUCUCUCAACAGGAUAACUGCGGUUUCAUUUUGAGUGCUCAUCAGGAUCAACUCUGGAAGAUAUUGUAGUUGUGCUUAAACUUUCUUUUGUUACUUUGUAAGAAUUCGCCAUUGUAAAUUUGUCCUAAAAAGAGAUGUAUAUAUGUUUUGACUGUCACAUCUCAGGAAUAUCCGUAUUGUAAAUUCUUGGGACGUGACAUAUAUAGAUAUUGGAAAAUAAUUGUGACCAUGUAUAUUGAACAUUGUUCAACUUCUUGUUGCCUAUGAUGCAAGCAAACUUCUAUAUGCUUAAUAAUA